GAAAUGCGAUACUUGGUGUGAAUUGCAGAAUCCCGUGAAUCAUCGAAUCUUUGAACGCACAUUGCGCCCCCUGGCAUUCCGGGGGGCACGCCUGUCCGAGCGUCAUUGCGAACCCCUCAAGCCCGGCUUGUGUGAUGGGCGCCCGUCCCCCCCCGGGGCCUCGUGCCCCGGGGGACGCGCCCGAAAGGCAGCGGCGGCGCCGAACCGUGGCCCAGCGCAUGGGGACUCUGUCACGCGCUCGUGCCCACGAUCGGCAGGCCGGCCCAGACCAUACGUCGACCCCUCACCGGUUGACCUCAGGUCAGGCGGGGCUACCCGCUGAGUUUAA
Molecule: unclassified non-coding RNA, 328 nt
Filed under: uncultured Ascomycota
Lineage: Eukaryota; Fungi; Ascomycota
Description: sequence contains ITS1
Rfam family: 5.8S ribosomal RNA (bases 1-105)
Source: RNAcentral